GCUGUGCCUGCUCCCGAAGCUCAGUGAUUAUUUCACUGCUUCCCACUAUGGCUCAAGAGUGAAGAAGUUUAAGCUCUUGCAGGUUGUGGUGCUGGCUGGAGUUCUGCUAAAGCUACUCCGGGUGCAAUGAAUUGCAGCAGUGAAGCCAUCAGUGAUUUCCUGGCCCAGUGAAAAUCCAAGAUUUUGAUGCUAAUUAUAGAUUUCACCCAUUAUUUUCUCUACUAUAUGGUUUUGGAGGACUCAGGAGCACAUGAAACAACAUUCCACAUCUUAGACAAGUGCUGCUGCUGCAGCCCUGCUUGUUCCCCAGUGCCCAGGCAGCUCCCAGAACUGCCAUCAGCUCUGCUCAUGCCCGUAGUGCCCACACACUCAGUGGGACUUGUUUACAGAGAUAAAAGGAAGUUUUUAAACCAGCAGUCAAUCUAUGCCUGAAGCCACCACCACCUCAGAGAACUCACAACAAUCCCUCUUGUAGACACUGCAGCUCUUCCCAAGAGAACAAGUGGGAAGGUGGAACGAGUUUGGCUGUCACACAAGCCCUGAGGAUGGCAUGUCACUUAUUCACUCUGAAGUCCGUGUGUCUGUCACCGUGACUGAUCCCUCCGGCCGCUCCAUUCGCAGCGAUUGUUCCCGUGCUUGGGUCGCUCAGCCACUGGAUGUCACUGUUAGUCUGAGCACACAAACUCAAACGGCAUUUGUUUGGCAUUAGAAAAUGUUUAGAGACAUGAAAUGAUGUCUUUAAACAUCAUCGGGAUGAAACUAAGAGCACUGCAGAGGGAUCAUCUCUAUAUGCUGAAAGCAUUUCUCACAAGUUGAUAGUGGUUAAAGCCAGAAGAGCCAUUUCUCCAAAGGAUUAGAAAAUAUGCUCUGGCCAAGUGACUGUAAGGUGUGAGCACAACCUCACAACGAGAAUAAUAUCAGGGAACAAGUACAAGGUAAUGGAGAAUCCAUCCUUGGAGAAGGCAAAGAGUGUAAAAUGAAAAAUCCAGAAAAUAAUAGUAAUAAAAGCAAUAAUGAUAAUUAAUAAUCCAGCUCUAGGCUGAAUGCUCCCUGUGCUGCAGAAAAGCCCCAGCAGCCAGGAAACCCCUCAGAGCAGCUCUGAGUCGGUGCCACCUCUGCCAUGACACAGCUGUGAGCCACAUCUGCCUGCACCUGACAAACACUGACAGGGAAUAAGAACAGACCUUUCAAAGAGAAGUAUUUGAAGAAAAGUCAUUUGAAGCAAUUUUACAAAAAAGGAUGACUGAUUUGGUUUACAGUUUUAAAUAAUUAUUUAAAAUAAUUACAUUGCUCUGAACCAAUACUGUAAUUUUAACACAGAUAUAAUCACUGCAAAUUACAUUAAGAGCUUGUCUACAGACAAAUUGCAUUGCUGUGGUUAUAAUGGGAUUGUUGAAGCUCAGCAAAUCCCCAAAUCCAGGUAUGGCUGAAAUCACAGAAAAGGAAGGGAAAGAAGUGUACCAAACCUCUCAACCUUUUUGGGCUUACAUUGACAUGGCUUUUUCAGUCAAAAGAACUCCUACCUAACCAAGAGGAUUGAACUGGAACAAAAGCAAGUGAUACACCAUCCUGAAACACAGAACUGUGAUGGCAGCAAUGCUGAAAUUUUCAUACAUUUGAACUUGAACAGAUCUAGAGGUCUUGGGUACCGAAGCUAAUGGUGAAAUUCCCUCUUACUUAAGUGGGAACAGCAGAGUUUGGAGCAGUAACUACCUGUACCAGGUUCUGCCUCCAAAGCUGAAAACUAGAAAUGGGAAGUGACCUAAAUAUUCAAAAAUUACUUAGUAAGUGUUAGUGAGUCUAUUUUUGAGUGGGUAUCUGCAGACUCCUCAAAGAAACUUGAUCACCAGAGAUGAAGCCUUAGCACACAGCACCUUUUAAUGGAUUUCAGUUUGAGGCACAUGGAACCACUAAUCACUUCAGUGAAAAAUUGGGUCAGAGUUAGCCCCAUCUUCCCCAAAGUGCUACAGAAGUACAUUUAAGUGUAUAUAUAUUUAUAUAUAAUUUUGUACUCUGAUUAGAAGAGAUGGCAAAGUAUAGUGCUGAAAUCCUUUUGGUUAUUCACUAAGGGACAGCAAUAAAAACACCAUCCACGGGGCCUUUCUUGCCAAGUCCACUUUCAACCCUGUUCUCAAUAGAUAAUAAAAUCUGUAUUUAUUAGUGAGUCCAAAACCCCUCUACAAUUCCUAAUGCACUAGGCAGGGACAGUGCUAUUUUGUACCUGUUAAUUAGCAGGUGCAACAUGAAGUAAGCAAAUGCAUUGGUAUGUUAUUUAUGGCUGCACAGACCUGUAAAUAAGAAGACUGGGAUAAAUAAAGGUGUAUUUUUUCCCACCGAUAUUUCCAAACUGAUUCAUUGUGUUUUACCACAAGUCCAUAUUUGUAGUUUAAGCCAAGGCCAGUUUGUGGACGGCCCCUUGGUCAGUGCAGCUCCCUGGGCAGUGCUGGCCAUGGGGCCCAGGCUGGCUGGGAGCACGAGCUGUGCUCCUGUGCUGCUCGAGCAGCAGCCCUUAGGUUCCAUUUUCAGAUGUUGUUCAUCACUAAUGCCUAAAGGUGACACGCUCACUAAACAGGCCUGCUGCAAACAAUACCAGAUAAGACAUAUUGGAUUACCCAGGCCACAUCUCCAAAUGCCACAGAAAUGAAUGCCAAACGCUGUGGGGUUUGUCACUUGCAGCAUGCAGCAGCCUUUCCAUUAUGCAUUGCCUGAUCCUUUGCCAGAUUUCUUCAGGAAAACCAAGUGCUAGGGUGAAUGGGAAGAGCUUGUCUGGAGGUCACACUGUGGGAGCUGGGAAGGAGGAGACUGCUGUUCCAUUCCUCACUUGCC
This is a long non-coding RNA of Oenanthe melanoleuca, 2826 nucleotides long. RefSeq lists it as uncharacterized. The record is from RefSeq and is a predicted model, not a curated record. The transcript has 4 exons. NCBI's taxonomy places the organism in Eukaryota, Metazoa, Chordata, Aves, Passeriformes, Muscicapidae.